This 29-nucleotide non-coding RNA is filed under the name Rattus norvegicus (Norway rat). The record is from RNAcentral. Lineage: Eukaryota; Metazoa; Chordata; Mammalia; Rodentia; Muridae.
UACCUUAUACGGGAGUAACAAUGGCGCUU